This 559-nucleotide ribosomal RNA is filed under the name Staphylococcus aureus. Its description in RNAcentral is "partial 23S ribosomal RNA". It matches the Rfam family "Bacterial large subunit ribosomal RNA", at positions 2364 to 2925 of the family's 2925-position model. The record is from RNAcentral. Lineage: Bacteria; Bacillati; Bacillota; Bacilli; Caryophanales; Staphylococcaceae.
GGAGCUUGACUGCGAGACCUACAAGUCGAGCAGGGUCGAAAGACGGACUUAGUGAUCCGGUGGUUCCGCAUGGAAGGGCCAUCGCUCAACGGAUAAAAGCUACCCCGGGGAUAACAGGCUUAUCUCCCCCAAGAGUUCACAUCGACGGGGAGGUUUGGCACCUCGAUGUCGGCUCAUCGCAUCCUGGGGCUGUAGUCGGUCCCAAGGGUUGGGCUGUUCGCCCAUUAAAGCGGUACGCGAGCUGGGUUCAGAACGUCGUGAGACAGUUCGGUCCCUAUCCGUCGUGGGCGUAGGAAAUUUGAGAGGAGCUGUCCUUAGUACGAGAGGACCGGGAUGGACAUACCUCUGGUGUACCAGUUGUCGUGCCAACGGCAUAGCUGGGUAGCUAUGUGUGGACGGGAUAAGUGCUGAAAGCAUCUAAGCAUGAAGCCCCCCUCAAGAUGAGAUUUCCCAACUUCGGUUAUAAGAUCCCUCAAAGAUGAUGAGGUUAAUAGGUUCGAGGUGGAAGCAUGGUGACAUGUGGAGCUGACGAAUACUAAUCGAUCGAAGACUUAAUCAA